UAACCUAUCCGGUAGGUGAGGCUACCACAAGGGAUAUGGGUUGCUGCCGAACAAGCGUGGAGACACGUCAAUUCCGGUAAGCAGGCUUUGUCGAAACCAAGGCACAGCCUAACGCAACUUCACUGCCCUGUGAUGCUAAAACUUGUAAUGGUGAGGACA
Molecule: non-coding RNA, 159 nt
Organism: Corallococcus sp. CAG:1435
Lineage: Bacteria; Pseudomonadati; Myxococcota; Myxococcia; Myxococcales; Myxococcaceae
Source: Rfam